AUGACUGGACGAAACCAAAAAAUAACCCCUUAUAUGUGAAAUUAUAGAAGAUCCCCUUUAAGAUCAAACAAUUCCAUCGAAUUGAGUAUGACUGUAUGUGUGAUAUCUACUAUACCAGGAAUAUCAAUGAACCCCAUUCUUGCAAUUGCUCAGGAUACCCUCUUUUAG
RNAcentral lists this ribosomal RNA (168 nucleotides) under Triticum aestivum (bread wheat). Its description in RNAcentral is "partial small subunit ribosomal RNA". The record is from RNAcentral. Lineage: Eukaryota; Viridiplantae; Streptophyta; Magnoliopsida; Poales; Poaceae.